RNAcentral lists this ribosomal RNA (497 nucleotides) under uncultured bacterium. Its description in RNAcentral is "partial 16S ribosomal RNA". It matches the Rfam family "Bacterial small subunit ribosomal RNA", at positions 28 to 507 of the family's 1533-position model. The record is from RNAcentral.
GAUGAACGCUGGCGGCGUGCCUAAUACAUGCAAGUCGAGCGAACAGACGAGGAGCUUGUUCCUCUGACGUUAGCGGCGGAUGGGUGAGUAACACGUGGAUAACCCACCUAUAAGACUGGGAUAACUUCGGGAAACCGGAGCUAAUACCGGAUAAUAUAUUGAACCGCAUGGUUCAAUAGUGAAAGACGGUUUUGCUGUCACUUAUAGAUGGAUCCGCGCCGCAUUAGCUAGUUGGUAAGGUAACGGCUUACCAAGGCGACGAUGCGUAGCCGACCUGAGAGGGUGAUCGGCCACACUGGAACUGAGACACGGUCCAGACUCCUACGGGAGGCAGCAGUAGGGAAUCUUCCGCAAUGGGCGAAAGCCUGACGGAGCAACGCCGCGUGAGUGAUGAAGGUCUUCGGAUCGUAAAACUCUGUUAUUAGGGAAGAACAAAUGUGUAAGUAACUAUGCACGUCUUGACGGUACCUAAUCAGAAAGCCACGGCUAACUACGUG